UAAUUGUAAGGGGCUUUAUUAAGGCCGGUUACUAAUAUUAGCGCCCACCACUCACGCUUCACUUUGAUUUUUUUGUUUAAAAAAAAUUUAAACAAAAAAAAUAGUUUUAAAAAAAAAAUAGUUGGUACUUGCCUACUAGUCUGCGCUUCUUUUGCCUACACACCUUUAUUUACUUUCUUUUUUUUGGUUUUUACUUAUCCCCAAUUCCCAAUUUUACAGAAAGAAAACAUUGAAGAACCCUAACUUCUUACUGACUUCCUCUCCCCUCACUCUCAUUCAAGGACCGGCACUGCUCUCAGAUCGACGUUGGCCGCACUCCGCCGACGGCCGACCGGUGCUAGCCUGCUUGCCUUUAGCCUUCUCUGAGUUCUCUCUCUUCGACAAAGCAAAACUCUAGUCUCCAAGUUUAGUUUUUAAUUAAUCUAUUUUUUUUUAAUUGUUAAUUGAAAUUGUGAGUUCAUUCAUUUGUGAAUAUGUGAUUUUCUGAAUGUAAUUUAUUUUGACGGAUCAUUUCCUCUGAAACUGCUCUACUCCUCCAAAACUGCUCCGGAGCUCCUCCAAACUCAAUCAUGGAAGUUAUCAACAAGUAGCAGAUUGGGGGCAAGGGGUUCGAUCGCAAGAGAGAGAAACCGGAAUAUGUAAUUCCUCACCAUCAUUGGCGAGUAGUGGGAUGAUUUCGAAAUCGUUGUAUGUAGCAGAAGAGCACGUUGCUGCUGGGUGGCGUACUUGGCUUGUCGCCGUUGCAAGGGGGUUAUCUAAGGGUGGGUCCGUAGCGAGAUGAUUUAUUGAGAAGUUAAAUAAGAAAACUUGCUGAAAGUGCCUUAUAACAAAACUAUUGAUUGGGUUAAGUGGUAUAUUUUUUGGACUGAUGAGCAUGUGGUAGAAAAGAGCCAUGCUGACAGCAAUUACAAGCUAGCAGGACAGUCUCUUGACCAAGUUAUUGAAUGCUCCUAUUUUGUGGAACUGGCUUCAUAUCUGAGGACCUAGUUUGCGGGUUUUCUUGGAAUAGUUGUAAGGCUAAAUUAAUGAGUGACCAUAACUCUAAGGAUUCUGUCGUAAUAUCAAGUGCUCAGUGUGAACUGCUACAAUCCAUACAGAACAGUCAAAUUUGUGAAGCAGACGGAGACAAAAUUGACAAAAUCGUCAAAAUUUGAAGGUUGACCAUUGUAUCAAUUAACUAACUAGGUUUUUUUUUUUUAAUUUUUUUUUAGUUAUAGAGUAUUAUUUAGUGUGAAUUGUGAGAGAAAUAUUUGUAAUUUACACAAGUACAUCAAUUCAAUAUAAUUUACAAGAUGUCGCUUAAAGUUGGUCUUA
Long non-coding RNA from Chenopodium quinoa (quinoa), 1314 nucleotides. RefSeq lists it as uncharacterized. The transcript is spliced from 5 exons. The record is from RefSeq and is a predicted model, not a curated record. NCBI's taxonomy places the organism in Eukaryota, Viridiplantae, Streptophyta, Magnoliopsida, Caryophyllales, Amaranthaceae.